ACACCGGCAGCUCUAGUGGUAGCUGUUUUUAUUGGGCCUAAAGCGUUCGUAGCCGGUUUGAUAAGUCACUGGUGAAAUCCUGUAGCUUAACUGUGGGAAUUGCUGGUGAUACUGUUGAACUUGAGGUCGGGAGAGGUUAGCGGUACUCCCAGGGUAGAGGUGAAAUUCUGUAAUCCUGGGAGGACCACCUGUGGCGAAGGCGGCGAACUGGAACGAACCUGACGGUGAGGGACGAAAGCUAGGGGCGCGAACCGGAUGAGAUACCCGGGUAGUCCUAGCCGUAAACGAUGCGGACUUGGUGUUGGGAUGGCUUUGAGCCGCUCCGGUGCCGAAGGGAAGCUGUUAAGUCCGCCGCCUGGGAAGUACGGUCGCAAGACUGAAACUUAAAGGAAUUGGCGGGG
This 401-nucleotide ribosomal RNA is filed under the name uncultured bacterium. RNAcentral's name for it is "partial 16S ribosomal RNA". It matches the Rfam family "Archaeal small subunit ribosomal RNA", at positions 473 to 873 of the family's 1478-position model. The record is from RNAcentral.